UACGGGGGGGGCAAGCGUUGUUCGGAAUUACUGGGCGUAAAGGGCGCGUAGGCGGCCUGCUAAGUCGGACGUGAAAUCCCUCGGCUCAACCGAGGAACUGCGUCCGAUACUGGUGGGCUUGAAUCCGGGAGAGGGAUGUGGAAUUCCAGGUGUAGCGGUGAAAUGCGUAGAUAUCUGGAGGAACACCGGUGGCGAAGGCGGCAUCCUGGACCGGUAUUGACGCUGAUGCGCGAAAGCUAGGGGAGCAAACAGG
Molecule: ribosomal RNA, 253 nt
Filed under: uncultured bacterium
Lineage: Bacteria
Description: partial 16S ribosomal RNA
Rfam family: Bacterial small subunit ribosomal RNA
Source: RNAcentral